Molecule: ribosomal RNA, 366 nt
Filed under: uncultured eukaryote
Lineage: Eukaryota
Description: partial 18S ribosomal RNA
Rfam family: Eukaryotic small subunit ribosomal RNA
Source: RNAcentral
CAAUAGCGUAUAUUUAAGUUGUUGCAGUUAAAAAGCUCGUAGUCGGAUUUUGGCUGAGAACGAUCGGUCCGCCGUUAGGUGUGCACUGAUUGGUCUCAGCUUCCUGGUGAGGAGGUGUGCUUCACGGCCACUUAGUCACCGUGGUUACUUUGAAAAAAUUAGAGUGUUCAAAGCGGGCUUACGCUCUGAAUACAUUAGCAUGGAAUAACACGAUAGGACUCUGGCCUAUCUUGUUGGUCUGUAGGACCGGAGUAAUGAUUAAGAGGGACAGUCGGGGGCAUUCGUAUUUCAUUGUCAGAGGUGAAAUUCUUGGAUUUAUGAAAGACGAACUACUGCGAAAGCAUUUGCCAAGGAUGUUUUCAUUAA